AAAUAUGAAGCAAUAUUAUGCAUUUAAUUUCGACUUAAAAGAAAGAGUUACUACUCCAUAUUUU
RNAcentral lists this transfer RNA (64 nucleotides) under Papilio paris (Paris peacock swallowtail). RNAcentral's name for it is "tRNA-Arg". Lineage: Eukaryota; Metazoa; Arthropoda; Insecta; Lepidoptera; Papilionidae. RNAcentral also lists the same sequence under 2 other names. The record is from RNAcentral.